CCUACGGGUGGCAGCAGUGAGGAAUAUUGGUCAAUGGACGAGAGUCUGAACCAGCCAAGUAGCGUGAAGGAUGACUGCCCUAUGGGUUGUAAACUUCUUUUAUAUGGGAAUAAAACGUUCCACGUGUGGGAUUUUGUAUGUACCAUAUGAAUAAGGAUCGGCUCACUCCGUGCCAGCAGCCGCGGUAAUACGGAGGAUCCGAGCGUUAUCCGGAUUUAUUGGGUUUAAAGGGAGCGUAGGUGGAUUGUUAAGUCAGUUGUGAAAGUUUGCGGCUCAACCGUAAAAUUGCAGUUGAAACUGGCAGUCUUGAGUACAGUAGAGGUGGGCGGAAUUCGUGGUGUAGCGGUGAAAUGCUUAGAUAUCACGAAGAACUCCGAUUGCGAAGGCAGUUCACUGGACUGCAACUGACACUGAGGCUCGAAAGUGUGGGUAUCAAACAGGAUUAGAUACCCCAGUAGUC
This 460-nucleotide ribosomal RNA is filed under the name uncultured bacterium. Its description in RNAcentral is "partial 16S ribosomal RNA". It matches the Rfam family "Bacterial small subunit ribosomal RNA", at positions 338 to 795 of the family's 1533-position model. The record is from RNAcentral.